RNAcentral lists this ribosomal RNA (860 nucleotides) under uncultured bacterium. RNAcentral's name for it is "SSU rRNA". It matches the Rfam family "Bacterial small subunit ribosomal RNA", at positions 524 to 1381 of the family's 1533-position model. The record is from RNAcentral.
UACGUAGGGGGCAAGCGUUGUUCGGAAUUACUGGGCGUAAAGGGAGCGCAGGCGGAAAGGUAAGUUGGAAGUGUAAUCUACAGGCUUAACUUGUAGUUUGCUUCCAAUACUGUCUUUCUUGAGUAUGAGAGAGGAAGAUGGAAUUCCAGGUGUAGCGGUGGAAUGCGUAGAUAUCUGGAAGAACACCAGUUGUGAAAGCGGUCUUCUAGCUCAAUACUGACGCUCAUGCUCGAAAGCUAGGGGAGCAAACAGGAUUAGAUACCCUGGUAGUCCUAGCCGUAAACGAUGGACACUAGAUGCUGGAACUAUAUGUUUCAGUGUCGCAGUUAACGCGUUAAGUGUCCCGCCUGGGGAGUACGCUCGCAAGGGUGAAACUCAAAGGAAUUGACGGGGGCCCGCACAAGCGGUGGAGCAUGUGCUUUAAUUCGAUGCAACGCGAAGAACCUUACCUGGGUUUGACAUGGGAGUGAAAGUCUUCAGAGAUGGAGGCCCUUCCUUCGGGAACACUCUACACAGGUGCUGCAUGGUUGUCGUCAGCUCGUGUCGUGAGAUGUUGGGUUAAGUCCCGCAACGAGCGCAACCCUCGCCAUUAGUUGCCAGCGGGUAAUGCCGGGAACUCUAAUGGGACUGCUUGGUAUAACCAGGAGGAAGGUGGGGAUGACGUCAAAUCAUCAUGGCCCUUACGUCCAGGGCUAGACACGUGCUACAAUGGCCAGUACAGAGGGUUGCAAGACUGCAAAGUCAAGCUAAUCCCGCAAAAUUGGUCUCAGUUCGGAUUGAAGUCUGCAAUUUGACUUCAUGAAGCUGGAAUCGCUAGUAAUCGCGGAUCAGCAUGCCGCGGUGAAUACGUUCCCGGGCCU